This 2551-nucleotide long non-coding RNA is filed under the name Sus scrofa (pig). Its description in RNAcentral is "lncRNA (ENSSSCG00060052086.1)". The record is from RNAcentral. Lineage: Eukaryota; Metazoa; Chordata; Mammalia; Artiodactyla; Suidae.
AAAAUUAAAAUCAACUUGUGUACUUUCUUGAAUUUUAAUUUUCCAAUGAAUCAUAAGUUUAUUGUCUACAGUAUGUCAAAUGGACCACACAAGCAUGAAAGGCCACGUCAUAUUAGCUUUAACAGCCCAGGCUCUGGUCACAGUAUCCAGGGAAUAAUCUCUGCUCUUCUACUCAAUAGUGUGUCACUUUGGGCUAGUGACCUCAUUAUUUCAGGCCUCUAAUUCUUCACCCGUGAAAUUAUUAUAAUAACAAUAACAGCACUAAUCAAACAUGACUAUUGCUAAAUAUUAUUAUGCUAAAUACCUAAGGUUCAAAAUAACAUAAAAAUUAAAUAGGAACUAAAAAAGUUAAUGUAGUCAAAGAUCCCAAUUAUUCUCCCAACAGUUGCUCUUCCAGUGACAAGAGUAAGCUAAAUAAUAAUUUUAAAAUGCUGAAAAUAUAUGGCACAGAGUACAUGCAAGUUUUAUACUUUGGUUUUUACUUUAGCAAUUAUUCUUGUCGUAUUUUAUCCUCAGAAUUAUAAUUUACUAGAGUGCUUUCUGCAGCUUUUUUCUUCCCAAUGCCCCAGGGAGCUUUCUUUUAGCAUAAAUUGUCUUCCGAAAUAAAUAAGUCUAUUGUCUGCACAGCUUUCACCAUCAAGGAAUUCAAAUAAACACACAUUUAUUAUUUAUACACCUUGGCCUGAAUGGGAUUUACCUGACUCACCAAGUGAAAAGCAUUUUUAAAUAUACAUAUGUGGGGAUUCUUUUUAUGUACAUAUCAUUUGUCCAAAAUUGAUCCUCACAAAGGGUUCUUGUACAAAGGCACAUUCAGUAGUAGGUGGUAGAGAAGCAACGGCUGGAACCUACAGAGAACUCAGCCUCCCGCCACCCUCACUUACAAACCGUGCUCUCCCGCUGAGUGGGCAAGAAUUCUCCCAGGUUACAGUUUCCACAUCCAAAACGGUCAGCUCUGGAGCGGAAUCGUGUCAGAGCUGCACACCCAUCCUAACACCAUCUAGAUUCAUGAUGGCUAAGUGCCCAGAAGCAUCAAUGGGACCACAGAUACCACUUUAAAAAUCAGGUCAGGAUUUUGAAAGCAGAGAGGCAGAUUGUGCCCAGCAGAAAUACUUUAUGUUUGAAUUUUGAGGUUGAGAGUUUACUGCAGGGUAUGCCUCACAAUCGAGGACAAUCACAUCAUGUAUUCCACGUAACAUCAAGGAUGGUCUGACUUUUCAAACUUGGAAGAAAUAUUGUCUAAAUCAGUGACGAGGACGUCAACACGAUGAAAGGGUUAUUGCAAGAGAAAAAAUACCAUCAGCUUGACGGAAUGAAACCUACAGGAAGAUCUGAUCAUAGCUCACUCUCCUGAAUUUAUAAUUGAAACCAAUUUAUGAACUAAGGUGUUCACAAACAUUUAUUUUGUGGGACUAGAACAAUCUGGGGACACGAUUACCUAAAUAUGCUGCUCAAGCAUCUUUUUCAAAUACAGCUGAAUGUAAAAGGGUUCUGUUUGAAUUGGGUAGAGGGAACGGUCGUGGGAUAUGAAAGUGCUUAUAGGACAGUGCUGGAGCCUCUGGUGAGACAGAAAGAGGGCAGUGGGUCCUGGGCAGAGCCUGGCAUCAGAGAUCUAGACUUCGUAGGAGAAGGUCCUGUGGGCAUAAUGAUUCUCCCCAAUCUCAGAAGCUGAGCAGAAACCAAGAGGUAGGUUCAGCAUGCUUUGCUUUGAGGCUGGAAGAAGUCAUGGAAAUCAGGGCUCAACAGCCCACAGGGACAGAAUCCCUCCAAAUCCAACUCACUAUUUAAGAGGUUCUGUCAUUAUCUGAUUUUGACAAUCAUCUCUAAGCUGACAAAUAAAAAUAAUGUAUAAUACUCUAAGCUUAGACAGGAAGAGCAGACAGAACAUCUGAACACAUGCCAUCUCAACACAAGUCAGCCAAAUUGCAGGAAGGGAAAGAUGAACACUUGAAGAGAUACAUUUCAGUAAAAUGCAGGUACAAACAUUUUAUGGAUUUAAAAGACUUGAUUUCCAAGGUAAAAACAAAUACAAAAUAAAAACAAGAGGCUUAAUUCUUGAGGAGAUAAAAUGCAGGUACAAACAUUUUAUGGAUUUAAAAGACUUGAUUUCCAAGGCAAAAACAAAUACAAAAUAAAAACAAGAGGCUUAAUUCUUGAGGAGAUAAAAUGCAGGUACAAACAUUUUAUGGAUUUAAAAGACUUGAUUUCCAAGGCAAAAACAAAUACAAAAUAAAAACAAGAGGCUUAAUUCUUGAGGAGAUAAAAUGCAGGUACAAACAUUUUAUGGAUUUAAAAGACUUGAUUUCCAAGGCAAAAACAAAUACAAAAUAAAAACAAGAGGCUUAAUUCUUCCUGUUGAAAAUAAAGGUAGAGAUUUCCCCCAGUCCUUAUCUCAGAGUAUUUACUUUAGAAAAAUCUGUGCUUGUCAGCACUUUCUCCUCCCUUUGAAAUGUAUGCAAAUCUUUUGGAAGAUACAAGAGAGUCCUUUCAUCAACUUGAUGACCCAGGAGCACCUUUUUUUUUUUUUUUUUUUUUUUUUGGUCUUUUUAGGGCC